Molecule: long non-coding RNA, 265 nt
Filed under: Ananas comosus (pineapple)
Lineage: Eukaryota; Viridiplantae; Streptophyta; Magnoliopsida; Poales; Bromeliaceae
Description: long non-coding RNA (ACOM_LNC025362)
Source: RNAcentral
UAUAGCAAGAAUUUUUUUUAGUAUAUUUAUAAAUAAAAAAUUUAUUCUUAUUUUUAAAAAAAUAUCGCUAUAUAUAAAUUAUCUAUGAGGUGAUUUAUUUUAUUCUGAAAAAUAAUCUAAAAGCUAAUUAUGAUAUUUUAUUCUAAACAUUAAAUGGCACCUCGCAUCAUCCAAAUAUAAAAAUUAUUUUAAUAAAUUAAGAGGAUAUAUCAAAUAAGAUAUUCAUGCAUCCAAAUAAUGAUAAUACUGAAUAAGAGCCAGAGAG